Molecule: long non-coding RNA, 3188 nt
Filed under: Mus musculus (house mouse)
Lineage: Eukaryota; Metazoa; Chordata; Mammalia; Rodentia; Muridae
Description: long non-coding RNA chr3:69554470-69557658
Source: RNAcentral
GUUUUUUUCCCAGUCUCUGUACUUUGUAAGUUAAUUUAUAGGACAUAUUAGAUUGUCCUGUUUGCUGAUUGAACCAGCCCCAAAGAGCCACGAUUUUCAUUGCAGACCUACACCAGAGCCGGCCUUGUUUUGUUCUCUCAGAGAGGCUGUGUGUCGGCAUGACUUCUCAAGCCCUGCUCAUUAGCUCUCCCUACCCCGGCCCUCUCCUUCAGCUGCAGAGCUUGUAGGAAGCCGAGUCUGGAGAAUGAAAGACUUGGACUCUGAGGACUGCAAACUGUCUGGAUUCCUCUGGGAACUUGCUUUCCUUUGGCUGCAUCAAGAAUUAAUAAUGGCUUCCCAGGAAAUCUGCUUACUUUUGUAUCUUGUGUUUUCAACAUUGGAAUUAGGGUCUUUUCUGCUUCUCAGAAUGUUUUAGUACAAAACACAUUCUAUCAUGUUAGACAGAAGCAUUGAUUGUGGAGAGACGUGCACUGAUGGGUGUGUAUUAUGGGUUAGGUGGGUGGGGAACAGAGAAGUCAGGUGUGGGUUUAACCAGUGAUGGGAUGAGCUUGUUGGCUUAGGAUGCUCUUACCAGAGAGUACCCAAAACCCAUCUUCUAACUAAAGGUCCAGACUCAACAGCCUAUACAGUCAACUUCCCUUCUGUAUUUGCUUAACACAAAAGUAUAUAACAAGAGGAAAAAAAUAAAUAAAUUUGAGACACAAAUGUUUGGGUGAAGAAAAAAAGAAAACUGCCAAGUUAGUUGGUUGGUACUCCUUGAGCAAGCAGGGUUUCUUAACCAGCAUUGCUGAACCCCCCUAGUUCCAGAGCCUUCUAACUGAGGUUUAUAGAUAUAGAUAUUAUAGAUCGAUCUUGUACAUUUGAUCUUGAUUUAUAGAUCUUGUACAUUUUGCUUUGCAGAAGUAACUUAUUUAACCAAAUAGGAAAAAAAAAAGAAUAUAUUUCACUCCUUUCUUGCCUCUUCCCCCCUCCCGUGGCUUGUAGACUUUUUUAAAGAUAGAAAUUCUAGGCAAAAUGGUAGUAUUUUGAUAAGUAGUUACACAUAAGGCCAGAGUAGCUCUUCUCUGUCCCCUCCUGACCUGUGUUCAGCUGUGGGGAGUCUACAGUUUGGUGUGGGCUGGGUGCUCUGGCCACUCCCCUUCUCUAGCAGCUCUGGAAGGGUGACUCUAGCUGCAGGAGACUCGGGUUUGAGAGGGUACACGCGAAGCUUCCAUAAACAGCACUGCCAAAGCUUUGGGACCGUGCCCAAGGCUACCCGGACUCCCUACCUAGCCUGAGUUCUAAUUGCCAAUAGUCCCCACAGUGCCAAACUUGGGAGAAUGUUACAGUGUUUGAGGAAUAAGUUGAUGCCAGCCCCAGGCCCUCUUGAACCCUAGCCCUGCUGCUCCCCUGGCGAUCUGUCCUCCUCAGGUGGGAUAGGGUGAGAGGGCAGGGGCAGGGAUUUUAAAGAACUCACUGCAUUUGCAGUUGUUUAAUCAUAAAAAUAAAUUAUACGGACCUAGAACAAUCCAAAGCUAGUUCCUGAGACCUGUAUUUCUAAACUGUGACCAGCUUUGCCCAAGCCCCUCUGGAUCACUGUUCUACCAUAUGGCCGUGUGCACUCAAUCCUGGUGGCUGGUACGCUCUGCCCCUUGCUGUGACUGGAAGGGACUGGCCCCUUGAAUCUGGUGUAUGUCAAAACAUGACCAAGAGAAGGCUUGGUGACAUAAGCACAGCUUCUGUGAUGCAGGAGUAGUGACGUGGACAUUUUGCACUGCCGCCGAUGACAGCACGGGAGUGCUAGCAUUGAUGUUUUCAUCCUCUGAGGAGGCUCCAGGGAACUGGCCGCACUGUUGGCCGGAGCUUCUGGAAAUGCAUGAAAGAGUCACAAAAGGAGUGACCUUUUUCCUCUGCCAGGUGUACUUUGAUUUCCCUGUUUGUUUCUUCUCAUGGUCCUCCUCUUCCUGAUUUCAGAGAUUUUUUUUUCCUUCCUUUGACCCAGGAUUACACAGAUCUCCCUGGAAUAGUCGUCCAAAAUAGCCUUUGUUUGUUACACCAGCACUCCUGAUUCAGCUCUUUAUGCUGGUCAGAUAGGGUGGGGGUGGGCGGUAUGAACUAUGAACCCUGAACAGCCUCUGGUUACAUCAUUCUCAUUUAGGACUUUGGGCUAGUUGGGUGCAUCUUGCAGGAAUAGAGGAAUCUAGCGGUCCUCAACACGGUCCUCAACACAAGAGAACACGUAUGCUAAAAAUGUUUUUUCAGGUACAUGGUUUUCUUGUCAGAGAAGUUGGGGGAACCAUACUUCACAGUGCGAAAUAAAUUCAUGACCAAGCUAAAUGUCAAAUAGGAGAGGAGAAAACGCAUACAGAGCCCUAACAGAGUGUCUGUGAGCUUCAUGUUUUCCAAAUGAACUCGAUCACAGACAUGUCUGAGUGACCCUCCUGACAUUUCAGUGGGCUCUUCAUUACCACCUUGGAAUGACGGUUUGUAAAUCAGAAGCACUGAGCUCUCGCCUGCAAGGCUGGCUUACAGUAGAAGCAGUAUUGGAAUGUUAUGAUUUAAUAUGACUGACAGUCUCCCAUUGACAGCAGAAGGCCAGCAGGCAUAUUGAAAGGUCUCCCUCCUUUUCUGUAAGAAGCAAGGGCUUUGUCAUGCUGGGCUAUUCUUGGCUGGGCUACCACAGCCUUCAGUUGUUUCUCUGCUUUCCAAAUUAAACCAAAAUGUUUGUUUUUUCUCAUCAUUGACACACACCAAAAAAAGAAUGCAUGCUUGAUUUUAAUUUGUUUUUGACAUUUUAACUAUUUUUAAUGUAUAAUAGAAAUGUCACCUGUUAAUAUUAACACACACUUAUUAUCUUUCCUCUCUUCACACCAGACUCUGUGAAAUAAUUUGCAAUCUAGAAUUCAUACAUCCUGAAAUUCAUAUCCUAUGUUAGCCCUUCUUUCAUACACACACACACAUAUACACACACGCACGCGCACGGUUAAGUCUGGCAACUUAUAAGGCUUGGCCAUAUUUCCCUAGACGUUAUCCUCUGCCUUGUCAGUUUGUUUGUCUGUGGCUUUUUUUUAGGGGAGGGGGAAGAGAUGGGCAGCUGUAACAAGUAGCCCAGAUAGAUCUAUGGGUGAAACACAGAACAGAAUAAAUCUGGGAUACAGUCAUUAAUUUACAACGGCAUCCAAUAUUUUGAGGAAUAUGCCACCUAUAUU